AGUAUAAUGCAUGAGUCUGACGAGUCACCAAAUAUAGUAUAUCUUUAGUACAAUCCUACCUCCCCAUACCUUUAGCCCCACCGAAAAAAAUUUUGCAAAAGAAAAUAGUGCUAUUCCGAAAGUUUUCAGGUUUUAAAGACAUGUUUUGAGUAAGGAUGCGGUGACUUGGGAGAACUUUGCAAAACAUCAGUAUCUGUAUUAGCACCAUA
This 209-nucleotide long non-coding RNA is filed under the name Lathyrus oleraceus (garden pea). Its description in RNAcentral is "Pisum sativum (pea) long non-coding RNA (PSAT_LNC020777)". The record is from RNAcentral. Lineage: Eukaryota; Viridiplantae; Streptophyta; Magnoliopsida; Fabales; Fabaceae.